AAUCCAUGCGGUAGACAUUGGCGGAGUAGCCCCUUGUACCUUUCCUACGCCUCAUAAUAGCAUUCUGAUUCCAAUUGAGGAAGUAAUGAUUUCAUCUCUCAGCUU
Molecule: small nucleolar RNA, 105 nt
Filed under: Olea europaea subsp. europaea
Lineage: Eukaryota; Viridiplantae; Streptophyta; Magnoliopsida; Lamiales; Oleaceae
Description: Plant small nucleolar RNA R71
Rfam family: Plant small nucleolar RNA R71
About the family: R71 is a member of the C/D box family of snoRNAs containing the C (UGAUGA) and D (CUGA) box motifs. Multiple nearly identical copies of this snoRNA have been identified in Arabidopsis, and it is thought to function as a 2'-O-ribose methylation guide for 18S ribosomal RNA.
Source: Rfam by way of RNAcentral